RNAcentral lists this ribosomal RNA (490 nucleotides) under uncultured bacterium. RNAcentral's name for it is "partial 16S ribosomal RNA". It matches the Rfam family "Bacterial small subunit ribosomal RNA", at positions 28 to 507 of the family's 1533-position model. The record is from RNAcentral.
GAUGAACGCUAGCUACAGGCUUAACACAUGCAAGUCGAGUGGCAGCAUGGUCUUAGCUUGCUAAGGCCGAUGGCGACCGGCGCACGGGUGAGUAACACGUAUCCAACCUGCCGUCUACUCUUGGACAGCCUUCUGAAAGGAAGAUUAAUACAAGAUGGCAUCAUGAGUCCGCAUGUUCACAUGAUUAAAGGUAUUCCGGUAGACGAUGGGGAUGCGUUCCAUUAGAUAGUAGGCGGGGUAACGGCCCACCUAGUCUUCGAUGGAUAGGGGUUCUGAGAGGAAGGUCCCCCACAUUGGAACUGAGACACGGUCCAAACUCCUACGGGAGGCAGCAGUGAGGAAUAUUGGUCAAUGGGCGCAGGCCUGAACCAGCCAAGUAGCGUGAAGGAUGACUGCCCUAUGGGUUGUAAACUUCUUUUAUAAAGGAAUAAAGUCGGGUAUGUAUACCCGUUUGCAUGUACUUUAUGAAUAAGGAUCGGCUAACUCCGUG